Molecule: long non-coding RNA, 976 nt
Filed under: Medicago truncatula (barrel medic)
Lineage: Eukaryota; Viridiplantae; Streptophyta; Magnoliopsida; Fabales; Fabaceae
Description: lncRNA gene13716
Source: RNAcentral
UAACAAACCUUUUAUAGAAAAUAAAUGAAACAGAAACAUAAAUUACUAAAAUUUGGCUAAAAUAAAAAUACUAUGCAAUUACUAAGGAAACCCUCUUACAUCAAACAAGGUUUUUGCAUGUUCCAAAAAAUUAUUGUAAGAAACAAUGCUUAAAUACAAAUUCCACACGUAAUAAAAAGAAAUAUGUUUUGCAAAUGUAAUUCUCACAUAAACAAAUGUAUUGAAAUCCAAAUCUUGUUACAACAAGGAACCAUAAUUUGCUUCAAUUUCUGCCUUGAAGUUUAAGGGUAAAUUCCUUCAAGGACACAAUAACUUUCUUCAAUCUAUUCUUGAUCUCUUCAUCAACCAAGUCACCAUCAUCGUUACAUUUAUCUGGAUGCUUAAAUACAUCUAGGUAGAACUCAGCGUGGAUGGGUUUAUUGAUGAAAUGAAUAUCAAGGAAAACCCCGAUUUGGCGGAGAUGAUGUUGAGCUUUUCCUCCACCAAAGGCUCCUCCAACACUCACUAUGGCAGCAGUUUUACCAGCCCAUACAUUUGGUGGUCUUGAUCCCCAAUCAAGUGCAUUCUUUAAUGGAAUAGUUAUACUCAGGAGAAGCAAAUAGAAAGCUAUCAGCUCCAAGAAUAUAAUCACGAAAAUCUUCAACUUCAAGAGGAAAAGUCCCUUCUUCCUCAAGAUCAGUGUUCAACAAUGGCAAAUUCGAAAUAUCAACGUACACGAAUUCCAUAUCAUCAACAUCAACAUCACCAAAUAUGUUCAGAUGAAUAGCUACCCAUAAAAAAUAAAAAUAAAAUAAGUUAAACCUUUAAAUUCAAUAACACAUUAAAUGUUUACCAUUUGUGCUACACUUACUAGACAAUAAAAUGUACUAUAUAAUAAAAUGUUAGUAUUUAAAAUAUAUAUGUGUUGUAAUAAAGAAGUAAAUAACCAUGACGAAUGAGGCCAGUGUGAAAAGAGCCUUUUCGUAGAGAACCAGAG